RNAcentral lists this long non-coding RNA (1245 nucleotides) under Homo sapiens (human). RNAcentral describes it as "HSALNT0231717". The record is from RNAcentral. Lineage: Eukaryota; Metazoa; Chordata; Mammalia; Primates; Hominidae.
CAAGGGGCGGGUGUAGCAGGCAAUCUUGGCGAAACUGGGAAGGGCGGGCAGGAGGGCAGGGAAGCCGCUCACCCAGGCACAAAGCGCCUCCCGCUUGAGCGGACUCCAAAGGGACGGUCCGCGGUGUGCAGCGAGCUGCGCUCAGGGGACCUUGCGCCCGGCCCUUCUGCUGCACACAGCCCACCCAGGACCUCCCGCAGCGCUGACAGGCGGGGCGGGUGCAAAGACGGGGCGGGGUCUCUGCGCCCGGCCCCCUCCCCUGACUAUCAAAGCAGCGGCCGGCUGUUGGGGUCCACCACGCCUUCCACCUGCCCCACUGCUUCUUCGCUUCUCUCUUGGAAAGUCCAGUCUCUCCUCGGCUUGCAAUGGACCCCAACUGCUCCUGCGCCGCUGGUGUCUCCUGCACCUGCGCUGGUUCCUGCAAGUGCAAAGAGUGCAAAUGCACCUCCUGCAAGAAGAGCUGCUGCUCCUGCUGCCCCGUGGGCUGUAGCAAGUGUGCCCAGGGCUGUGUUUGCAAAGGGGCGUCAGAGAAGUGCAGCUGCUGCGACUGAUGCCAGGACAACCUUUCUCCCAGAUGUAAACAGAGAGACAUGUACAAACCUGGAUUUUUUUUUUAUACCACCUUGACCCAUUUGCUACAUUCCUUUUCCUGUGAAAUAUGGCAGCAAAGUGACUGGAGAUGUGGAGGAAAGCGUCAUCUCGGCAACGCAGAGUCAUGAGAAGGACUGGGUGCAGAUGAAGGAUGUUGAGUGUGCUGAUGCAGUGGUGAUGGCAUAUUCUGCAGUUGGAAGGUGUGUUGCUGUUCAAGAAGGAGAGAGGAGUCACCCUGGUGACUGGUAGUUAGGCCAACAGUAGGUUCCACUGGCUACUGGUUCGAGAAUUGCUAUCUGAUGUUCAAUCACAGAGGAAGAGGAGUUAAGUGGCCCAGGAGUCAGGACCAUGCUUGCCCGCAGGUGCCCUUUGUGAAGAGGGCAUUUCAGAAGGCAGCGUGGGUCAUGUGCAAGUUUGGGUGUCACAUAACCAGAUUCACAGCCCACUUCACACCUUCCUGGCUGUGUAGCUGGCACAAGUCACUUAACCUCUCUGUGCCUCCAUUUCCUCACUUGUAGAAAGCAGAUUAUAAAUAUAUGUAGGGAUUAAAUGUGAUAGUGCCCUGGUACCUGGCUCGGGCUUAAUAAACAGUGCUGUUAUAAUCAUUUGUCCACGUGCACUUCCUGGAGAUAGAAUCCUGUUACAUCUCAUCAA